AAAAAAAAAAAAAAAAAGAAAGAAAGAAAGAAAGAAAGAAAAAGUGUACUGCAUAGUUCUAAACUACGUAAUGGGUAGUCUGUAAUAGUUCUCACCCCCGGGCCUGCUCCGGGUGGGUCUGAACGGACACACUCGUCAUCCCAACACAUCUGAGUCAUGGCUACCUUGGCUCACUUGCAUCAUCUCUGUGAAGCCUGAACACUUCUGGUAGAUCGUGCUGAGGCAGCCUCUCACCGUGGCCUGGAAGCCAGUGUUCCGCUAGCAGCCUUCAGAUGGAGAUGUAGAGCUCUCAGCUCCUCCUGCACCAUGCCUGCCUGGAUGCUGCCAUGUUCCCGCCUUGAUGAUACUGAACUGAACCUCCAAACCUGAACCUACUAUAGAUCUAAUCCCAGACCUUGUGGAAUCUCCCGAGCUGUAAGCUUAUCUAAGGUGUCCGCACAACACGAGAUUUGAUGGAGAGAGUGACUCUAUCUGCAACCUUCGUGGGCCAGAGACUCCGCACUGCAGUGUCCCUGUGUACUCCUUAGAGCCUAGGGACAUAACGGAGAGCCGCGGUCUUGAAAUAGCGCCUGUCCUGUUUCCGAAGCUGCAGAGAAAGGACUUCCAGACGUAGCUGCCAGUUUUGGAAAUCAAGCCCCACGCCUCUCAGCAUGGCAUCAGAUACCUCACUGACUCGGAAAGAGUAAAGUACAGCCAACAACCAUCAAAGCUGGAGACGACACCGGGGCUAAGGAGCUGUACACCCGGCCGCGCUCAAUCCUUUCUCUCUUUUCUUGCUGGCCUGUACCUGAGGUCUGGCAGACAGGCCUUUGUCACCCGGUCCACCUGUAAUCCUAGCAAAUGGGAGGUGGACAUAGAAAGAUCAUGAGAUGAAGGCCAGCAUCAACUACGUAGUGAGUUCGAGGCUAGCCUGGGCAACUGUCUAUCUCAAAAAAGAAAAAUUUUAAAGUAAAACUAUGCUGAAGAGAUGGCUCAUGGCCACCAGUAACUAUGGUUCCUGGGAUACCUGUGAUCUCUGUAGUCACCUGAGCUCAUUCACACAUACACUUAAAAAUAAUAAAAAGAAGGGUUGGGGAUUUAGCUCAGAGGUAGAGCGCUUGCCUAGGAAGCGCAAGGCCCUGGGUUCGGUCCCCAGCUCCGAAAAAAAAAAAAAAAAAAAGAACCAAAAAAAAAUAAAUAAAAAGAAAUAUUUAAAAUGUAAAGGCAACUCAUUUUCGAGCCCCCUCUCAGCUAUAGGGAAAAAAAUUUUAAUGAUUUUUAUCAAGUCUUUAUUAUAUACACUGUAGUUGUCUUCAGACACACCAGGAGAGGGCAUCGGAUCUCAUUAGAGAUGGUUGUGAGCCACCAUGUGGGUGCUGGGAUUUGAACUCAGGACCCCUGGAAGAGCAGCCAGUGCUCUUAACCACUGAGCCACCUCUCCAGCCCAGGAAGCUGUUUCUUUAGUUCUGAACAAACUGCUUGUUUGCCCUUCAACAACAUUAUUGUUUUGUUUUCAAUUUUUAAGACGAGGUUUCUCUGUGUAGCCCUGGCUGUCCUGGAACUCGCUCUGUAGACCAGCAUGGCCUCCAACUCAGAGACCCACCUGCCUCUGCCUCCCGAGUGCUGGAAUUAAACUCGUGUGCCACCAUUAGCCAGCUAAAAACAUCCUUAUAAAAAAUAAAGACAUAGUGGGACCACUGUAAAAAAAAAAAAAGAACAAAAAAAAAAAUCAACAAGGCAAAUGGCCAAAGUUAAGUAAUAUUUGUUACCAACUCUCUCUUUACAACCAGUUAUGCGGUGAACACUUAAGAGAAUAGGCUGCUCUCAUCUUAUGAAGUCCUAAAUUCACAAAGCAAAUAAAUGAGGGCCACGGUCUGGUUUUUUUUGUUUUUUUGUUUUUGUUUUUGUUUUUUUUUUUUUAAGGGGAACCUAUCAGAACUAAAGGAAGUGAACUUCCUUUAAACGGGGCUGUUUAGAAAGCUACAUUGGGAAAUUAAAGCCCAGGCUGUGGGCAGUCAGUUCGUUAGGAUUUGCAAGUUGCUAAGUCAUUGUUUGCUCACUGGAUGAGCCAUUCGUACCUUUCCCAGGCCUGCCCUGUGGACUUCUCCAGCAGCAGUGCACAGCGCAGUUCACAGAAGUUAGAAAUAAAGAAGGCUUUGCCAGUCACUCAGUCAACCCCUGUCACACAAGGCCUCCUGGCAGGAUGUACAGAACCCCACAAGAACUGGGCUCCCCAGAACCAGUACACUCAGCUGGAGCUGGGGGUUCUACAGGGCAAAGGAGCAGAAGUCAGAGACGGGACACCCCUUCACCUCCUCCAAGGUCUGUAUGGAGGGAGAAUUAAAGUUCCCAGAGGCUCUAAUUCAGCCUGCGCCUGCCUUUGGAUGAGUCUCACUCUGGUUCGUACUCUGAGAGUCUCUGAAAAGUUACUUCAAAGAUCAUACCCAAUAAGUUCCUUCUGCCCUUAGGAAUAACUGCAGUGCCCUGGGCAAUAAGGGGUUUAUCUUUAAUUCUAGGGAGAAAGGGAGCUGAUUUUGCCCCUUCUCAGAGCUACUUCUUAUCUAAUACAAUACUCCUCCAACUACAUGUUUUUAUUUGGUUUUUGCCUAGUUCAGAACACCCAGGAGGAACUUGCAUGGAUUCAAACCACUGGGUCUGCAAACGGGAAUAACAAUCGAAAUGUAAAUAAGAGGGGUUGGGGAUUUAGUUCAGUGGUAGAGCGCUUGCCUAGCAAGCACAAGGCCCUGAGUUCAGUCCCCAGCUCUGAAAAAAAGAAAGAAAGAAAGAAAAAAAAAAAAAGAAAUGUAAAUAAGAAAUACUCAAGUUAAUAAAGAAAAAAGAAAAAAUACAUAAAUAAAUAAUUUAAAAAAAAAAAAAAGAGUGCUGCUGCCCUUCUACCUUCUGUUGGAGGACAAUGCAUAAAACCCUCGAUGGCGGCACAGAUCACCCGAUGCAAUGUCCUACUGAAGCCACGGUCCCCAUGGCCAGCCCACAGGGCUGUUCUCAAGUGUGUCAGCUCACACUUUGCUCCUCAGAGCUAAAGGAUUAAACAAAAUGAUGUUCCCUGAUUUUCUAUUAGGAUCUAUGUGAAACAAAACUAUGGAGGCCCAAGCAGUGUUUUAGGAAGCCAGGGGUCUUCAAAGGACGACCUGUUUGCCAUUUUUCAUCAAAAUACAUCCUGUUCUUAAGGCUCGAGGGAUAGCUAAGGAGCAGAGCAGAUACGUAGCAUGUACAAAGGUUCAAUUUCCUGUAAUAGGAAGCAGAAUAAGGGCUGGAGAGAUGGCUCAGUGGUUAAGAGCACCAAUUGCUCUUCCAGAGGUCCUGAGUUCAAUUCCCAGCAACCACAGGGUGGCUCACAACCAUCUGUAAUGAAAUCUGAUGCCCUCUUCUGGUGUGUCUGAAGAGAGUAACAGUGUACUUAUAUAUAAUAUAUAAAUAAAUCUUUAAAAAAAAAAAGUCAGAAUAAAACACCAGUUUGGGGCUGCCCAUAUGGUUCAAUGAAUAAAGGCACUUGCCACCAAGACUGACAACUUGAACUCAAUCCUCAGGACGCACAGAGUGGAACAGACUCCUAUAAGGUGUCCUCUGACUGCCUCCACACACAUACCCUGACCUGCCAGGCCCCUACUCCAAAAUGAAUAAAUGUAAUAAAAUCAAAGUCUCCAUGAAACUGCUAGUGACAGUGUUAGUAACUUCUCAGCGGUCUUUACAGAAAUAAAACCGAAUCAGGCUUCAGUUGGUAGGUAGCAUGUUUGCCUAGGAUGUGCAAAACCCUGGGCUCAUAUCCACUAUCACAUAAGUAGGAAGUGGUGAUGCCUGUCUAUACUCUGAAACCUGGGGGGUAGACACAGGAAGAUCAGAAGUUCAGGUCACCCUCAGCUACAUAGUGCUUUUAAGGCUGGCCUAGAUACUGUCAAUCCCAGCACUUGGGAGGCAGGCAGGACCAGGCACAUCUGAAUUUAGGGCCAGCCUAGUCUACACAGUGAGUUCUAGAUAAGCCAGAACUGCAGAUAACUGCCCGUGUUUUAUCAUGACUCCUGCUUUUGAAAAAGUGUAGUCAUACAGGAUUGACAAAUCUCCAAAAUCAAUUCCAGCUUUAUUAGCAACAUAUUUUUUUGUAUCUACUUUCUUUUUUUUUUUUUUUCUUUUCAUUUUUUCGGAGCUGGGGACCGAA
Rattus norvegicus (Norway rat) is the source of this 4153-nucleotide non-coding RNA. The record is from RefSeq and is a predicted model, not a curated record. Lineage: Eukaryota; Metazoa; Chordata; Mammalia; Rodentia; Muridae.